GCCAGUUAGACUGUCUGCCAUGGAGCAGGCGGAGCCAAUUGCAGUCAGUCUGCCAGGGAGCAGGCGGAGCCAAUUACAGUCAGUCGGACAGGUAGCAGGCGGAGCCAGUUACAGUCAGUCGGUCAGGUAGCAGGCGGAGCCAGUUACAGUCAGUCGGUCAGGUAGCAGGCGGAGCCAGUUACAAUCAGUCGGUCAGGUAGCAGGCGGAGCCAAUUGCAGUCAGUCUGCCAGGGAGCAGGCGGAGCCAAUUACAGUCAGUCGGUCAGGUAGCAGGCGGAGCCAGUUACAGUCAGUCGGUCAGGUAGCAGGCGGAGCCAGUUACAGUCGGUCAGGUAGUAGGCGGAGCCAGUUAUAGUCAGUCGGUCAGGUAGCAGGCGGAGCCAGUUACAGUGAAUCGGUCAGGUAGUAGGCGGAGCCAGUUACAGUCAGUCGGUCAGGUAGCAGGCGUAGCCAAUUACAGUCAGUCUGCCAGGGAGCAGGCGAAGCCAGUUAUAGUCAGUCUGCCAAGGAGCAGGUGGAGCCAGUUAUAGUCAGUCGGUCAGGUAGCAGG
Non-coding RNA from Pelobates cultripes (western spadefoot toad), 550 nucleotides. NCBI's taxonomy places the organism in Eukaryota, Metazoa, Chordata, Amphibia, Anura, Pelobatidae. The record is from the annotation of a GenBank genome assembly.